This 73-nucleotide transfer RNA is filed under the name marine sediment metagenome. RNAcentral describes it as "tRNA-Ala". It matches the Rfam family "tRNA". Rfam says of the family: Transfer RNA (tRNA) molecules are approximately 80 nucleotides in length. Their secondary structure includes four short double-helical elements and three loops (D, anti-codon, and T loops). The record is from RNAcentral.
GGGGGAUUAGCUCAAUUGGGAGAGCGCCGCCCUUGCACGGCGGAGGUCACGAGUUCGAGUCUCGUAUCCUCCA